RNAcentral lists this long non-coding RNA (240 nucleotides) under Vigna radiata. Its description in RNAcentral is "long non-coding RNA (VRAD_LNC000874)". The record is from RNAcentral. Lineage: Eukaryota; Viridiplantae; Streptophyta; Magnoliopsida; Fabales; Fabaceae.
GGCUAUUGGGAAAGUUGAAAAAGAAAAGAUAAGCAUUGAGCUAAUGUGUUGAGCAAAACAUGAAAAGAUGAAAAAGACAGAAAAUAUAGAAAAGAUAGAAUGGGAAGAAAAGCUCAAUGCAAAGAAAAGGGAAACUUGGAGAUGAGUGAGAUUGGUUAUUAAAAAGAGAUUGUGUUUGAACUAUGAAUGUUGAAUAACUCUUUUAACUCAAGGAUUUUGUGAUCCAGAAAAACCAAUGUU